UGGGGAAUUUUGGACAAUGGGCGCAAGCCUGAUCCAGCAAUGCCGCGUGCAGGAUGAAGGCCUUCGGGUUGUAAACUGCUUUUGUACGGAACGAAACGGCUCUGGUUAAUACCUGGGGCUAAUGACGGUACCGUAAGGAUAAGCACCGGCUAACUACGUGCCAGCAGCCGCGGUAAUACGUAGGGUGCGAGCGUUAAUCGGAAUUACUGGGCGUAAAGCGUGCGCAGGCGGUGAUGUAAGACAGAUGUGAAAUCCCCGGGCUCAACCUGGGACCUGCAUUUGUGAAUGCAUCGCUGGAGUGCGGCAGAGGGGGAUGGAAUUCCGCGUGUAGCAGUGAAAGGCGUAGAUAUGCGGAGGAACACCGAUGGCGAAGGCAAUCCCCUGGGCCUGCACUGACGCUCAUGCACGAAAGCGUGGGGAGCAAACA
This 427-nucleotide ribosomal RNA is filed under the name uncultured bacterium. Its description in RNAcentral is "bacterial SSU rRNA". It matches the Rfam family "Bacterial small subunit ribosomal RNA", at positions 355 to 774 of the family's 1533-position model. The record is from RNAcentral.